AGUUACUAAGCGGGACAAAGGCAGAAGGGGAAAAGAAAAGAGGAGGAAAAAAAAGAAAGAAAGAAAGGAAGAAAACGCAAACGGCGGUUACUGACAGGCUGGGCGAGCGCUCGGGGGCUCAAACUGCCUGGAGACAGGCGGGGCUCCUGCUGAGGCUUGGUCCGCCCGGACGAGUAAGGAGAGGAGCCAGGGAGGACCUGCUGGCGUGAGACGCCUCUGCCCGGUAGAAGAUACUGGAAGAUCAACUCUAAUUUGUGGCUGCCUUCCCAGCAGUCUCUACUUCAGCAUAUCUGGGAGCCAGAAGCACUCAAGUUUGAUAACUCAAAAGACAGAACAAUCAGUCAAGGGGUAGAGGCUACCUUCCAUUCUGCUCAUCUUACACUUCUUGGAAAGGAGACAUUCGGUGAAGAUCACUACUAUUCUCCAAACUUCAUUCGGGACCCUAUUCCUUCCCUGUUGAUGUCAGUGUGUGAAAUUCUAAAUUAUGUCAUGGGUGUAUACGUUCAAAAGCAAUAUAUUUUCAAAUAAACAAAAAA
Molecule: long non-coding RNA, 536 nt
Filed under: Homo sapiens (human)
Lineage: Eukaryota; Metazoa; Chordata; Mammalia; Primates; Hominidae
Description: non-protein coding lnc-TSPAN1-1:6
Source: RNAcentral